UUUGAAGUUCUCAGCACUUUUCAAACCACGUCCUCCAGUGACAACAACCCGUGCAUUCGCAAGAUCAGGACGUUCUGCUUCCUGAGAUGUUUGCUUUACAAAUCUAGAUUUUCCAAUAGAAUCUCCACCAAACGUUGAGAGAUCAACCUGAGAUAUAGGGGACCUGGAUGAUGCCGACUCAACUGAUUUUGAGGUCACUGGGAAUGAUGUAGAUCUUAUGGUCAACAUACAAG
This 233-nucleotide unclassified non-coding RNA is filed under the name Hevea brasiliensis (rubber tree). Lineage: Eukaryota; Viridiplantae; Streptophyta; Magnoliopsida; Malpighiales; Euphorbiaceae. The record is from RNAcentral.